This 311-nucleotide ribosomal RNA is filed under the name uncultured bacterium. RNAcentral's name for it is "bacterial SSU rRNA". It matches the Rfam family "Bacterial small subunit ribosomal RNA", at positions 28 to 341 of the family's 1533-position model. The record is from RNAcentral.
GACGAACGCUGGCGGCGUGCUUAACACAUGCAAGUCGAGCGGUAAGGCUCCUUCGGGAGUACACGAGCGGCGAACGGGUGAGUAACACGUGAGUAAUCUGCCCUUCACUUCGGGAUAACCGCCGGAAACGGUGGCUAAUACCGAAUACGACGCGCUCUCGCAUGAGAUGCGCGUGGAAAGUCUUAUCGGUGAAGGAUGUGCUCGCGGCCUAUCAGCUUGUUGGGAGGUAACGGCUCACCAAGGCUUCGACGGGUAGCCGGCCUGAGAGGGUGACCGGCCACACUGGGACUGAGACACGGCCCAGACUCCUA